GUGGAGGUUAUAAUAUUCACGACACCUCUUGUAGUAGUGGCAGUGCUGCUGGGUUUGCUGCCAUUCACUUGGGAAACUAUUACUUUAUUAACACUUUUGGAAUCAGUUUUUGGCUUCUGUGACAAAAGAUUGUAAGGAGACUGUGAACGAGGUGAUGAAGCAACCCUUGAACCUGCCAUGGCCGUGGCCUCGCCAACGUUUCUUUUAACCGAUAUCCUCUUAACGCCCGUCACAGUCGCUGAAUCAUUCCCACCACAACCACCAUUGGCACUGUUGUUCUUAUCCGUUUCCACAUGAGAGACCGUUGCUGGGACUGAAACCAUUUUUGCUGGCCGAUUGAGAACACCACCAUUAUUGGUAUUGGCAUUGACAUUGGAAGUAUUAUUCGAAACAUUUGUUGCAGAGGGCUCCGCCGACCGUCGACCAGGCGACCUGCUGACACGCCUCUCUCUACUGCUGGACCGUUGAUUCUGAUCUCUCUCCCUACUUGGGGUCCUCCUCCUCCCUUGAGAGGAAGAGUGCCUUGGAGAUUGGCGGUGGCGCUGCCUCUGGUGGUGACGUUUCUCCACUGGAGUUCCAUCAUCAUAAACCUCAACAGAAUUAAGAUUCCUCCCAUCUUCAUCUUCAUCACCAAAAUUGCCAGAGUUAACACCAUCUCUAUCACAAUGAUCAAAAUCAUAGCUUCUCUUCGAACCAGAGUACUUUCUUCCAUUACCCUUAGCAGACGAACUCCGACUCAAUCUACCACACUGAAUCAAAAUAGCAUCAACUUCCUCUUUAGUACAGCUCGAAGUUCUGACCAAACCCACCUUCAUAUUUUCCCCCACAGCUCCAGACUCCAAAAUUUCACAGGAAGAAGAAGACACAGUAGGAGUAGCAGCAGAGAAAAUAUGACCAUUCCCCUCUUGACAUGGAACAAGAGAACCCCCAUUCUUAUCUCUUCCAUCAUGGCUUUUUCUGUGCUUAAUCACAAAAACCUCCUUCUUCACAGGGUACUCACUUCUUUCUUCUUUCCUCUCACCAUUUUCCUCCCCAGUUUUGUUGCAGGUCUUGAGUUGCACAUCAGUGGUAGGAGGCUGAGAAAUUGGAAUGAUGGGUUUGGUGCAGACAUUGGAAGAGGUGGGAUCUGGAGGUGAAGGUACAGAGGUGGAAGAAAUUGAAGGUAAAGUCUUCUUCUUUUUGCUCAAACAAGCACCCAUUAGAGAUAUUGAGAAGACCCAACAAUGGAAAUUCUCUAAAGAAGUAGGAAGAGAGAGAGAGAGAGAAAGAAGAGAUUGGGGAGUUUUGAGAUUUGAAAGUGAGAUUAGUGAAGAGGAGAGAGAGAGAUAAAAGAGAAAAGGAGGGUAACGGGUGGCGCACUGUUCAAGAAGCAUUUUCAAAAUGCUGCAACUUUUUUUAUUUUAUUUAAAAUGAGAGAGAGAGAGAGAGAAAGAAAGAGAAGAGAAUUCGAAAUUUGAGUUAUGUUUGUAGAGAGGGAAAGGGUGAAAGAGAGCAAAAAAUUCUGACAAUGAGAGAGCCGUUGGAUAAGUUGAAUAGAGUUCAGAAGGGGUUGUCCUUUGACCCCAACAACAAAAACAACAACCCAAGUAACAAACCCAACUCUCUGUCUCUCUCUCAAUCUCAACUCUAAAAAUAUAUAUUUUGGCUCCUACUUGUUUCAAAUAAAUAAAUGAAACUCUUAUUUCUUUCUUUC
Molecule: long non-coding RNA, 1693 nt
Organism: Cucumis melo (muskmelon)
Lineage: Eukaryota; Viridiplantae; Streptophyta; Magnoliopsida; Cucurbitales; Cucurbitaceae
Exons: 2
Source: RefSeq, a predicted model, not a curated record